Long non-coding RNA from Carya illinoinensis, 1231 nucleotides. RefSeq lists it as uncharacterized. The transcript is spliced from 3 exons. NCBI's taxonomy places the organism in Eukaryota, Viridiplantae, Streptophyta, Magnoliopsida, Fagales, Juglandaceae. The record is from RefSeq and is a predicted model, not a curated record.
CGAUACGUUUCAUUAAAGACAACGGCAGACCGAAGUGUAAUGGAGCGGGAAUGAAAUUUUGAAGAUUAGCUUAUCAGAUUCAAUUCACAGGAACAUUUUCGUCUUUCCCCCAACCCAUUUGAAGUCGAAAUCCCGAUGUGAGCCCUAACCCAUCUGAAGAACACCUCCCUACUUCUCCAACAUCGAACCGGUACUCUCCACCAACGCCACCGAAAUCGAAAUCGCCCUAAUCCAUUUGAAAUCAAAAUCCCCAAGAGCCCUAACCCAUAUGAAGAACAACUUUCCCCUUUCUCCAACAUCGAAAUCAGUAAUCUCCACCAAUGAAAUCGAAAUCGAAAUCGUCCUAACCCAUUUGAAAUCAAAAUCACCGGGAGCCCUAACCCAUCUGAAGAACACCUUUCCCCUUUCUCCAACAUUGAAAUCAGUAACCUCCAACAUCGAUUUCGAAAUCGAAAUCGCCGUAACCCAUAGUGUUUUUCCUCCCCUCGGCAGCCCCGUGUAUUUUCUGUUCUAACCCCUCCCUACUCGUCGCAGUCCCCGUGACGUUCCCUCCCCCACUACUCUUUUAGUAUUCUAGAUUGGUUGUUUUAUUCACAUUGGACAAGAGCGGCAGUAGUUUGGCAACAUGUUUGUUGAAGAAAAUGUAUCAUCGUGUGUCUCUUCAUCUUCUCUUAUUAAUCAAACUUCGAGGAACAACCCAAUGUGCACUUGUGGGAAGCCCGCUACACUUCGAACAUCGUAUACGCGAAGAAAUCCGGGUCGAUCAUUCUUUGGGUGUCCAAAUUAUAAUACGAAGGGGUUGCCCCACUGCAACUAUUUCAAAUGGGCAAAUAGCAGUGAGGAUAGAGAAAAAGAACUCCUUAAGAAAGAAAUUCAGAUUUUAAGGAAGGAGGAAGAGCUUCGAAAAAGAGAGGAAGAGAUUGUAAAGAUGGAGUUGGGAGUUCACAAUGACCAACUCGAUAUUCAAAGACAACGUACAGACAUCCGUCGUGAACGCAGAUUGCUUCGUAUCUAUUUGGCAAUUUGUAUAGUAGUUUGUUCGUACGUGACACUAUCACGUUGAAUAUGUACUGCAAAUCUGUGCUGAAGCUAAGAUUGUAUAUAUCUGAACACUUUAAUAUGUGCUUUUAGAUUACUAGUUCUAGAAUUGCAUGCAAUAUGUACUGCACUUUUGGGGGAAAUAUUUGUGAUGUAUUUUGGAUCAUGGGGGACACUACUUUUGAAACUGUAU